AUUGACUUUGUAAGAGCUUUAAAAAGUCAAAAUUUAUUUAGGAUUUGGUUAGGAUUUGUUUAAGUUUUGAUUAGAGUUUGGUUAUAGUUUAUUUAGGAUUUGAUUAGAAUUUGAUUAGGAUUUCUUAAGAUUGACUAGGAUUUAUUUAGGAUUUGAUUGGAAUUUAAUUAGGAUUUGAUUAAGAUUUGAUUUGAUUUUGACUAGGAUUUGAUUAGGAUUUUAUUUGGUUUUGAUUAGGAUUUAAUUAAGAUUUUUAUUUUAAUAUUUUAUUAAGAUUUCUAUUUUAGUAUAUUUUUUAAUUUCUAUGUUAUUUCUUUAUGAUUUUUUUAAAAGAUUUUAGGAAUACAUUGUGUUUCUUAUGUAAUUCGUUUGAAAUUUUAAUUGAAUUUGAUUGAUGCUUGAUUAUAUUUAUUAAUCUUUAAUUGUAAUUUGUUUAAGAAUCUAUUGGAGUUGUUAAGACUUGUUGUUGCAAUUUUCUUUUUAUCUUCUAUAGCCAAGUGCCUAGUACAUUUUCAAGCCAAACGCCAUAUAUUAUGAUAUAUUUUGAUGAAUUCCAGAUGAAAAGCUUGAGAUAGAAGAUAUUUGGAAUAUUUUUUUGAUUUAUAUGAAUUAUGGAGAAAG
Molecule: long non-coding RNA, 621 nt
Filed under: Physcomitrium patens
Lineage: Eukaryota; Viridiplantae; Streptophyta; Bryopsida; Funariales; Funariaceae
Description: long non-coding RNA (PPAT_LNC013917)
Source: RNAcentral